GAUGAACGCUGGCGGCGUGCCUAAUACAUGCAAGUCGAGCGAACAGACGAGGAGCUUGCUCCUCUGACGUUAGCGGCGGACGGGUGAGUAACACGUGGAUAAUCUACCUAUCAGACUGGGAUAACUUCGGGAAACCGGAGCUAAUACCGGAUAAUAUAUUGAACCGCAUGGUUCAAUAGUGAAAGACGGUUUUGCUGUCACUUAUAGAUGGAUCUGCGCCGUAUUAGCUAGUUGGUAAGGUAACGGCUUACCAAGGCAACGAUGCGUAGCCGACCUGAGAGAGGGGUCGGCCACACGGGAACGGAGACACGGUCCAGACUCCUACGGGAGGCAGCAGUAGGGAAUCUUCCGCAAUGGUCGAAAGCCUGACGGAGCAACGCGGCGUGAGUGAUGGAGGUCUUGGGAGCGUAAAACUCUGUUAUUAGGGAAGAACAAAUGUGUAAGUAACUAUGCACGUCUUGACGGUACCUAAUCAGAAAGCCACGGCUAACUACGUG
RNAcentral lists this ribosomal RNA (497 nucleotides) under uncultured bacterium. RNAcentral describes it as "partial 16S ribosomal RNA". It matches the Rfam family "Bacterial small subunit ribosomal RNA", at positions 28 to 507 of the family's 1533-position model. The record is from RNAcentral.